UACGGAGGGUGCAAGCGUUAUCCGGAUUUACUGGGUUUAAAGGGUGCGUAGGCGGACUUGUAAGUCAGUGGUGAAAUCCCGGGGCUCAACCCCGGAACUGCCAUUGAUACUAUAGGUCUUGAAUAUUGUUGAGGUGGGCGGAACGGGUCAUGUAGCGGUGAAAUGCAUAGAUAUGACCCGGAACACCGAUUGCGAAGGCAGCCCGCUAAGCAAUGAUUGACGCUGAGGCACGAAAGCGUGGGGAUCAAACAGG
This 253-nucleotide ribosomal RNA is filed under the name uncultured bacterium. Its description in RNAcentral is "partial 16S ribosomal RNA". It matches the Rfam family "Bacterial small subunit ribosomal RNA", at positions 524 to 776 of the family's 1533-position model. The record is from RNAcentral.